UAGCUAUGGAGGCGCUUAUGUCAGUUUC
RNAcentral lists this small RNA (28 nucleotides) under Bombyx mori (domestic silkworm). RNAcentral's name for it is "ovarian small RNA-22479". Lineage: Eukaryota; Metazoa; Arthropoda; Insecta; Lepidoptera; Bombycidae. The record is from RNAcentral.